This 3564-nucleotide long non-coding RNA is filed under the name Nicotiana benthamiana. RNAcentral describes it as "long non-coding RNA (NBEN_LNC042659)". Lineage: Eukaryota; Viridiplantae; Streptophyta; Magnoliopsida; Solanales; Solanaceae. The record is from RNAcentral.
CGUAAGUCAAAUUUGAGAAGUACACAAUUUUCGAAGAAAGGGAGAAAGCAAGUCAUAAAAUAUAUUUAUACAUUUCCAUCUAAAAAACAAUAUUUAUAUAUUAGAGCCCAUAACAAUAUUUAUCUAAAAGCUUGUUAUUUUGCUGUAUAACAGAAAUUUUCUCUUCUGUCAGCUUUGAGAUUAGUGCUUUUGUCUGCAAACAAGAUAAAGAACCCUCAGCCUUCAUUCUUAAUAACAAAAAUUAUUAAGGGAUUUUGUCUACAAAUUAUCAGCCAAGAGAAAGUCUUUGGCAAUGCGCAAAUUCUGCAUUGCUACCAACCAAGGCAGUGGCUACAGAGCUACUAAAAUAUAGUCACCAAAAGCAAAAUAAUGGUCUUACCAUAGCAAUAUCUCCGGAACAUAAAGAGCAUAUGGCAGAGGAGAAACAUCAUAAAGAAUUACAGCAGAGAAGAGAAGAAAUGCUUGAUCCAUAUGAAUGUAUGUGUGUUCACCAAACAAAAGAUCCUUAAUAAGGUUAUAAGGGUUCUGGUAAGAAGAAAGAUAUCUGUUAACAAGCCAUUUGAAUCAUUGCAUCAACAGUCAGCUGAUCAAGAAAUGCUGGAGGGAAACUUGUUUGUCAAGACGACACUAUUAAUCCAACAUCAUUUAUGCAAGCAAGCUAGCUGCUGGUAACUUAUUUGUUCAUGAACAUAGAGUGACAUAUUUUAGCUACAUGAGGAAGGGGUGCAGUAGGAGGUUUCUGAUGCAUUGGUUAAGCAAUUAAUACUGCAUGUUUCAUCAACGAUGCAGAUGCAACCUUCUCCAUAUUCAGCUUUGACUUUCCCAGCACUGGUGUCUUUAUAAGAUAUUGAUAUUCUCUAUAUCAGAAUUCUAUAACACCCACAUAAUACAGAUUCUAUAAUGGAAACGGUAUGCAACAAAUAGCCACUUUUCUACUCCUCAAUUAGAAACAUCAGCUCUUGUUCCUUGCUUUAUCUGUUUAAUCAAAAUUUUUGUACUUCGGUCAAAGCUUAUUUUUAGAAGUACCCGGGCUACUGAUAAUCAAGAAAUUCUAUAUUUGAUUGCACUACAAAAAACACAUAGCAAUUUGGGUAUUUGCUUGAUGAAACUAGGGAGAGUUGGUGAGGCAAAAGAGACACUUCGGAGAGUUAAAUCAGCAGUGGCAGAUGGCCCCAGGGAUCUAGAUCCCCAUCUCAAGGCAUAUUUGAGAGCACAACAGAUGCUCUAGGACCUCGAUUAUUAUAUACGCCUCAAGAAGGUUGUAUGCAGCAUGUUGGUAAAAAAUAGGAUUUUACGCAUAUAAAAUAAUUGACGUUGUGCCUUCAGAAUUCAGACAUCUUUAUCUGCCUGUGUCGAAACCUAAUCUUCAAUUGAAUUUACAUCUUCUUUCUCAACAAGUUGCUGAAAUCAUUGUUCUUGGUUAACAUGAAAGAAACGAGAAUCAUGAAUUGGGCAAAGCAGAGUCAUAUUAUAAUAGAAAACUCGAGAUAUAGUUUUUAGUGUAGCAUCAAGCGAGAUUAAGCACUAGUCAUGAUGAGUAGUUAACAAAUGCACAAUCAAAAUGGAGGUGAUUGAAAUGAGUGAUGCGUGAGGCAACCUAAACCUACUAUCAGUACAAAGUAAGAAGGGAGUGGAAGAUGCUCAAAGCUGGUGCUCUUCGUGAGUUCAUGAUGACUUCAGUGGUCACUAAGGUUCACAAGUGAGCAGCACUACAUAGUAAACAGAAUUUCAUAUAGGCAAGAUAUUAAUUUUGAUUUAGUUCUAGAGUAACCUGAUGUAAGCAAUGUAAGAUCAAUGCCUAUCAGUGGCUAAUUCAGCCUAGUGUGGCUAACUCAACAGUUGCAAUCAGUUCUAAAAAAUUAGAUUUCAGCACCAUGUUGUAACUUAACUCAAGGCAUCAUUAGUUAAACCCGAAGAUAACAAUAUAAACUAAUUUGAGUACCAUAGAUAAUAAGAUAAAUAAGCAAAAUACACAAAUACACUACCAGCAAAUCCAAUUACAAAAGAUUUAAAUUAAGAUAAAUUUCCAGCAACGAGUGUUCCCUAAAUUACCAACAAUGAUUUCUUCUCGGCUACCAGAAAUAAACUUUGUCUAAGCUAAUAAUGUAUAUACUACCAAAGAACGUUCUAUAGUUCAACAAGGAGCAGCAUGCAAGAAAAAAAAUAAAACUUGACAUCAGAAAGGGAUUACUUGGAGAAUAUUCGAGCAAAGAAAACAAGAAAUAAUCUUGCCUUAGAUAUAAAAACAAACUAAUUAGACUCAAAAGAGUUCGAACCACUACAGAUCACAACUGAAAUUCUGCAAAACAUUACGUAAAUUACACUCAACUAGUGCAUAUUCUGACCCCACCUGGUGGGAAUACACUGGGUAGUUGUUGUUGUUGUUGUUGUAGUGCAUAUUCUGACCCAAAACUUAACUGAAAACUAUGCAAUUGACGCAACAAAGUUCAACAAAUAUGCUAAUUAAUAGCUGAAAUUUGACAGCCGAAUCAUUUGUCGAAGCAUUAUGAUAAGUAAUCAAGCUUUAUUACGUAACACUAAGCAAAUGUUGGUAUGAAUAAAUUCUUUGAAUUACAAAAGUUGACAAAACAAUCAUGAGGUGCUACACAUUCUUGAAUGUUACGAAGGAACUAAAAAGAAUGUCUGAGUUGUAUACUUCAUACAAAUUAAGUUCAAAAGCAAACAGGUGCAAUUAUCUGUUUUCCCGUGCCUAUAUUACAGAUUCAGUAUCUUCUAAGUAUUAGAUGUUCCUUUUUUCUAAAUUGUCUACAGUAUAACAUCGUUUAAUAUGGCCUUAUGUUCCCCAUCUUCCUUAUCAGCCAGUUCUAAUAACUGUCUCUUCGGUCACCAGCCAGGAUUUUCGAAUAGAAAUAACAACAUUUGCAUAAUUUAGUAGAUGGAUAAUCUCUUCUAUGUUAGUAGCCAUGGAACACUUCAAAAUCAGUUCAACGAGCUCAAGAAAUUUUACAACAAAUAGUUUCAAUCAAUGGCAGCCUCAAGUCAUACUGCGAAUUCAGUUCAACACUCAAAAAAAUCAAGCUUAAACUUGGUGAGUCUCAUUCACAGAUUCAAAUCAAUAGAUCCUAAAUAGUAGUAAUCUAGUCUUCUAUUCGAUUAAUCAAUCACAAAUCCAUAAAAAUUCAAAAAAUGACACAAAUUUAAGCGUAGAGAAAUCAGACUUGAUGCGUCGAGGAGUGUAUAGGCUACGCAACAGCUUCAUGCACUCAACUCCAAAAAUUUGAAGCUUUUCUUCGAGCUUCAGCACCAGAAAUUCGAUUGUCGACACCAAACAAAUGAACCCAAGCUUCAGCCACAACUUCUCGACACCAAUUAGAAUAAAAUCCCAAAACCAAUUUGUUCAGACACUCACGAAAACAAUGAACCCUAGGUCAUCGGAGAGAGAUGUGGGGGUAUAAGUGUUUUCAGCAAGAUUUUGAGAAGAUGACCUAGGUCAUCGAAGAAGAAGAAGUUUUUUAGAGAGAGAGAGAUAGGGGCGGGUAUCAGUGAAGAAGAAGAAGACUCGGUAUUAAUUUGGGGGUAUCGACUAUAUUGCAGUUAAUUGGA